RNAcentral lists this ribosomal RNA (429 nucleotides) under Verrucomicrobiota bacterium. Its description in RNAcentral is "Verrucomicrobia bacterium partial 16S ribosomal RNA". It matches the Rfam family "Bacterial small subunit ribosomal RNA", at positions 355 to 776 of the family's 1533-position model. Lineage: Bacteria; Pseudomonadati; Verrucomicrobiota. The record is from RNAcentral.
UAGGGAAUCUUCGGCAAUGGGGGGAACCCUGACCGAGCAACGCCGCGUGAGUGAAGAAGGUUUUCGGAUCGUAAAGCUCUGUUGUUAAGGAAGAACGAGUGUGAGAAUGGAAAGUUCAUGCUGUGACGUUACUUAACCAGAAAGGGACGGCUAACUACGUGCCAGCAGCCGCGGUAAUACGUAGGUCCCGAGCGUUGUCCGGAUUUAUUGGGCGUAAAGCGAGCGCAGGCGGUUAGAAAAGUCUGAAGUGAAAGGCAGUGGCUCAACCAUUGUAGGCUUUGGAAACUGUUUAACUUGGGUGCAGAAGGGGAGAGUGGAAUUCCAUGGGUAGCGGUGAAAUGCGUAGAUAUAUGGAGGAACACCGGUGGCGAAAGCGGCUCUCUGGUCUGUAACUGACGCUGAGGCUCGAAAGCGUGGGGAGCGAACAGG